AGUGAACGCUGGCGGUAGGCCUAACACAUGCAAGUCGAACGGCAGCACAGUAAGAGCUUGCUCUUACGGGUGGCGAGUGGCGGACGGGUGAGGAAUACAUCGGAAUCUACUUUUUCGUGGGGGAUAACGUAGGGAAACUUACGCUAAUACCGCAUACGACCUACGGGUGAAAGCAGGGGAUCUUCGGACCUUGCGCGAUUGAAUGAGCCGAUGUCGGAUUAGCUAGUUGGCGGGGUAAAGGCCCACCAAGGCGACGAUCCGUAGCUGGUCUGAGAGGAUGAUCAGCACCACUGGAACUGAGACACGGUCCAGCCUCCUACGGGAGGCAGCAGAGGGUAAUAUUGGACAAUGGGCGCAAGCCUGAUCCAGCCAUACCGCGUGGGUGAAGAAGGCCUUCGGGUUGUAAAGCCCUUUUGUUGGGAAAGAAAAGCAGCAGGUUAAUACCCCGCUGUUCUGACGGUACCCAAAGAAUAAGCACCGGCUAACUUCGUG
This 492-nucleotide ribosomal RNA is filed under the name uncultured bacterium. RNAcentral's name for it is "partial 16S ribosomal RNA". It matches the Rfam family "Bacterial small subunit ribosomal RNA", at positions 29 to 507 of the family's 1533-position model. The record is from RNAcentral.